AGACCUCGCCCAAACUCCUACGGGUACCGGACCUCACUACCGACUCCAACCGAACUUCGGCCGACAAGUCUGGACCCCCUGGCAGGCCACAGUAAUGGACAACACUGCUCCACUCCCUGCGGCGGACCCUACGCAGCUCCAUUACUCCCUGACAGGCCGUAUUAACGGCCACGAUUCUGCUCCACUCCCUGCGGCGGAUCCUGUGCGAUUCCACCACUCCCUGACGAGUCACGACAGUGGACGCCGCUCCACUCCCCG
This 258-nucleotide long non-coding RNA is filed under the name Elaeis guineensis (African oil palm). RNAcentral describes it as "long non-coding RNA (EGUI_LNC071250)". Lineage: Eukaryota; Viridiplantae; Streptophyta; Magnoliopsida; Arecales; Arecaceae. The record is from RNAcentral.